UGGGGAAUUUUGGACAAUGGGCGAAAGCCUGAUCCAGCAAUGCCGCGUGUGUGAAGAAGGCCUUCGGGUUGUAAAGCACUUUUUGUCCGGAAAGAAAUCCUUGGCUCUAAUACAGUCGGGGGAUGACGGUACCGGAAGAAUAAGCACCGGCUAACUACGUGCCAGCAGCCGCGGUAAUACGUAGGGUGCAAGCGUUAAUCGGAAGUUACUGGGCGUAAAGCGUGCGCAGGCGGUUUGCUAAGACCGAUGUGAAAUCCCCGGGCUCAACCUGGGAACUCAUUGGUGACUGGCAGGCUAGAGUAUGGCAGAGGGGGGUAGAAUUCCACGUNUAGCAGUGAAAAUGCGUAGAGAUGUGGAGGAAUACCGAUGGCGAAGGCANCCCCCUGGGCAAUACUGACGCUCAUGCACGAAAGCGUGGGGAGCAAACAGGAUUAGAUACCC
This 441-nucleotide ribosomal RNA is filed under the name uncultured bacterium. Its description in RNAcentral is "partial 16S ribosomal RNA". It matches the Rfam family "Bacterial small subunit ribosomal RNA", at positions 355 to 787 of the family's 1533-position model. The record is from RNAcentral.